AUGGCGAGCAAGGCCCACCUCUCCUUCCUGCUCCUCGCGGUCGUCGCGGCCUCCCUCGCCGGCCGGUCCGCCGGCAUAUUCCACAUCGUCGGCGCCGGCAAGGGGUGGCGCAUCGCCCCCAACCAGACCUACUACGCCGACUGGGCCCGCACCAGGGACAUCCACGUCGGCGACAAGCUCAUGUUCCUGUACCGGAGCGGGGUGUACGACAUCGUGCAGGUGCCGACCAAGGAGCUGUUCGACGCGUGCAGCAUGGACAACGUCACCAUGCGGUACCAGCUCGGCCCCACCAUCAUCAAGCUCGACACGCCCGGCCCGCGCUACUACUUCUGCGGCGUCGGCGAGCACUGCGAGGGCGGCCAGAAGGUCGCCGUCAACGUCUCCGGCGACCCCGCCGCCACCCCCACCGCCACCACCACCGCGGCCCCCGAGACGCCCGCCGCAGCGGCGCUGCCGCCGGCGUCGUCGACGGCGCAGGCGGAGGCCGAGCAGGCGUCGUCCACGGCGCAGGCGGAGGCCGCUCAGGCGUCAUCGACGGCGCAGGCGGAGGCCGCGCAGGCGUCGUCGACGGCGCAGGCGGAGGCCGCUCAGCCGUCGUCGAUGGAGCAGGUGGAGCCCACGCAGGCGUCGUCGACGGCGCAGGAGGAGCUCGCGCAGGCGUCGACGAUGGAGGUGGACCCCGCGAAGCUUGUGGACGCCAAGAAGAAACUAUAG
Molecule: ribosomal RNA, 714 nt
Filed under: Triticum aestivum (bread wheat)
Lineage: Eukaryota; Viridiplantae; Streptophyta; Magnoliopsida; Poales; Poaceae
Description: partial small subunit ribosomal RNA
Source: RNAcentral